GUGCCAGCAGCCGCGGUAAUACGUAGGUGGCAAGCGUUGUCCGGAAUUAUUGGGCGUAAAGCGCGCGCAGGCGGUUCCUUAAGUCUGAUGUGAAAGCCCACGGCUCAACCGUGGAGGGUCAUUGGAAACUGGGGAACUUGAGUGCAGAAGAGGAAAGUGGAAUUCCAAGUGUAGCGGUGAAAUGCGUAGAGAUUUGGAGGAACACCAGUGGCGAAGGCGACUUUCUGGUCUGUAACUGACGCUGAGGCGCGAAAGCGUGGGGAGCAAACAGGAUUAGAUACCCUGGUAGUCC
Molecule: ribosomal RNA, 292 nt
Filed under: uncultured microorganism
Description: partial 16S ribosomal RNA
Rfam family: Bacterial small subunit ribosomal RNA
Source: RNAcentral